Zonotrichia albicollis (white-throated sparrow) is the source of this 746-nucleotide non-coding RNA. The record is from RefSeq and is a predicted model, not a curated record. Lineage: Eukaryota; Metazoa; Chordata; Aves; Passeriformes; Passerellidae.
GCUCAGACAGAAGCUCCCAGGGCAGAAGAAAGAACUCGCCAGACAAAUGGGGAGAGACAGGCACAGCAAGGAGCCCAGAGAGGGACGAUUGAGCAAGCACCAGGCUCAGAGGUUCCACGAAAUGCUUCAGUCAGCAUGUCCCCAGAAUAAACAGGCAUUGAAGCCAGAGCCUGAUCCAACAGCAUUUAGAGCAGCGAUUUCCUAUGGUACACAAGCCAGACCACCACGGAUGCUCUGGGAUGAAGCCUUUGAAAGGUCCUGUGCUUCAGAAACAGUGGGGCAUAGAGGACAGACACCAAAUACCAGCACUGGCCAAAUCCUGACUGCAAGAGUCCCACAGAGCCCCAGCCUUACCCAGAAACAGCUGUACCCUGGGGUUUGGCUGCAGCUGUGCUCUGGGAAAAACAACAUUUCAGAGUCUGAACAUUUUGAGCUUUGGGAGACAGAGAAGCUGCAAUGGGUGUACAACAGAACUCACUACUGAGAGAGUGUGAAUUCACUACUGCAGAAGGCUGGAAGCUGGCCCCUGGCUGCCCAGGCCAGAGCUGUUCCUGCUGCCUGGUUUAUUCUUCCUUAGUCUGAGCAAGACCUUCCACCCCUGUGCCAGGACUGAACAGUGCACGCCGUGCCUGAAACAAAGGAACCCUCCCUUCCCACUGUCUCCACUGAGAAAGGAAUCAACCACCCAACCAGCAACACUGAAAAACCAUGAUCACAAUUCAACUUAAAUAAAAUGUCUUAUAGCA